UAGGGAAUCUUCCGCAAUGGGCGAAAGCCUGACGGAGCAACGCCGCGUGAGUGAUGAAGGUCUUCGGAUCGUAAAACUCUGUUAUUAGGGAAGAACAAAUGUGUAAGUAACUAUGCACGUCUUGACGGUACCUAAUCAGAAAGCCACGGCUAACUACGUGCCAGCAGCCGCGGUAAUACGUAGGUGGCAAGCGUUAUCCGGAAUUAUUGGGCGUAAAGCGCGCGUAGGCGGUUUUUUAAGUCUGAUGUGAAAGCCCACGGCUCAACCGUGGAGGGUCAUUGGAAACUGGAAAACUUGAGUGCAGAAGAGGAAAGUGGAAUUCCAAGUGUAGCGGUGAAAUGCGCAGAGAUAUGGAGGAACACCAGUGGCGAAGGCGGCUUUCUGGUCUGUAACUGACGCUAAUGUGCGAAAGCGUGGGGAUCAAACGGG
This 429-nucleotide ribosomal RNA is filed under the name Actinomycetes bacterium. Its description in RNAcentral is "Actinobacteria bacterium partial 16S ribosomal RNA". It matches the Rfam family "Bacterial small subunit ribosomal RNA", at positions 355 to 776 of the family's 1533-position model. Lineage: Bacteria; Bacillati; Actinomycetota; Actinomycetes. The record is from RNAcentral.